RNAcentral lists this ribosomal RNA (253 nucleotides) under uncultured bacterium. RNAcentral's name for it is "partial 16S ribosomal RNA". It matches the Rfam family "Bacterial small subunit ribosomal RNA", at positions 524 to 776 of the family's 1533-position model. The record is from RNAcentral.
CACGUAGGGCGCAAGCGUUGUCCGGAAUUAUUGGGCGUAAAGAGCGUGUAGGCGGCCAGGUAGGUCGGUUGUGAAAACUGGAGGCUCAACCUUCAGAGGUCGACCGAAACCAUCUGGCUAGAGUCCGGGAGAGGAGAGUGGAAUUCCUGGUGUAGCGGUGAAAUGCGCAGAUAUCAGGAAGAACACCCGUGGCGAAAGCGGCUCUCUGGAACGGUACUGACGCUGAGACGCGAAAGCGUGGGGAGCGAACAGG